This 484-nucleotide ribosomal RNA is filed under the name uncultured bacterium. RNAcentral describes it as "partial 16S ribosomal RNA". It matches the Rfam family "Bacterial small subunit ribosomal RNA", at positions 29 to 507 of the family's 1533-position model. The record is from RNAcentral.
AUUGAACGCUGGCGGCAUGCUUUACACAUGCAAGUCGAACGGCAGCGCGGGCUUCGGCCUGGCGGCGAGUGGCGAACGGGUGAGUAAUACAUCGGAACGUGCCCAGUCGUGGGGGAUAGCUCGGCGAAAGCCGGAUUAAUACCGCAUACGACCUGAGGGUGAAAGCGGGGGAUCUUCGGACCUCGCGCUAUUGGAGCGGCCGAUGGCAGAUUAGCUAGUUGGUGGGGUAAAGGCCUACCAAGGCGACGAUCUGUAGCUGGUCUGAGAGGACGACCAGCCACACUGGGACUGAGACACGGCCCAGACUCCUACGGGAGGCAGCAGUGGGGAAUUUUGGACAAUGGGCGAAAGCCUGAUCCAGCAAUGCCGCGUGUGUGAUGAAGGCCUUCGGGUUGUAAAGCACUUUUGGCGGGAACGAAAAGGACUGUGCCAAUACCACGGUUCGAUGACGGUACCCGAAGAAUAAGCACCGGCUAACUACGUG